AUGAUACUGAACCUCAUGCCCUAUCGAGCAUCUUAUCCCAUCUUAAAGUUGGUUUAUUCGGCAGCCGCAAAUGCUACUCAUUAUAGGGAUUUCGACAAAGCGAAUUUAUUUAUUACUAAAGCCGAAGUCAGUAGGAGUACUAUUAUGAAGAAAUUCAGACCUCGAGCUCAAGGACGUAGUUUCCCAAUAAAAAAAGCAUGUUUCAUAUAA
This 210-nucleotide ribosomal RNA is filed under the name Triticum aestivum (bread wheat). RNAcentral describes it as "partial small subunit ribosomal RNA". The record is from RNAcentral. Lineage: Eukaryota; Viridiplantae; Streptophyta; Magnoliopsida; Poales; Poaceae.